Molecule: long non-coding RNA, 447 nt
Organism: Populus euphratica (Euphrates poplar)
Lineage: Eukaryota; Viridiplantae; Streptophyta; Magnoliopsida; Malpighiales; Salicaceae
Exons: 2
Source: RefSeq, a predicted model, not a curated record
UACAAUCACAACAAAACAGCAGAAAGAGAUAACGUAACAGAGUACCGAAGAGCAUUAGACCAAUACUACAAUGGCAUCAGAAUGUCAAGGUAAGAGUUCAUGGCCAGAGCUCCUUGGAGCACAAGCAAGGGUUGCGAUAGCCACUAUUGAAACGGAGAAUCCUUAUGUUGACACUCAGGUUGUGUUAGAAGGAACGAUUGUGACUGGAGAGUUCUCUUGCACUAGGGUUCGUGUUUGGAUUGACAGGAACAGAAUUGUUACUCGGGUUCCUAUGAUUGGUUGAAGGCUCAUGCAUGCUGAUUAUCAUUCUGCUGGAUCUUACGAAAUAAAGAGUUUCUAGUCCUCCCUUGGUGCUUGUUUUAUUUUACUAAAUAAGAGAUCUUGUUUUCCAUGCAUUAUUCUGUAAUUGUGUUACAAUUUCAAUAAGACUGGUUUAAUACUGUUAUA